This is an RNA transcript of Conger conger (European conger), 1514 nucleotides long. It is a transcript of the gene named ubiquitin-like protein 7, with no coding region annotated. NCBI's taxonomy places the organism in Eukaryota, Metazoa, Chordata, Actinopteri, Anguilliformes, Congridae. The record is from RefSeq and is a predicted model, not a curated record. The transcript has 11 exons.
AGUGCACGUACAUCUGCCUUUCAGGACCAGUAGUUCCUCUUUAGUGGCUUGUAAAUCGGCCGAAUGCUUCUCUUGCAUGGACUUCAGCUCCCAUUGAAGCUUGAUGUUUUGCGCCCGGAGGAAAUCGUUCUCGUCUUUAAGGGAAAUGGCAAUUACAGAAUGGCGCUUAUCGUUAAAGCUCAUGGAUCACCCGUCCCUUCCGAAGACAGUGAUGCAUUUUCCUGAGGCUGAGCCUGGAGAUGUAACUCCUGGGGGUUACCGAGUUGCCACUUUGAAACAGCUGGUUGCAGCCCAGUUACCCGAUUCAGUGCCGGACCCAGAUUUUAUAGAAUUGGUGUACUGCGGCCGUAAGCUGAAGGAUGACCUUACGCUGGACUCCUAUGGCAUCCAGCCAGGUUCCACUGUUCACAUCUUAAAGAAAUCCUGGCCAGAACCAGAGGUGAAGCCAGAGCCAGUGGACCGGACCACUGCUGCCAGGGAGUUCCGUGUGCUGCAGGCUGCCCUUCACACCAGCACUGCUUACAGAGACUCCGUAUUCAAGAUGCUGAACAAUAAGGAGUCUUUGGACCAGAUAAUAGUGGCCACACCAGGACUGAGCAGUGACCCAGUGGCGUUGGGUGUACUCCAAGACAAAGAUCUUUUUGUACAUUUUACAGACCCCAACAUGCUGGAUAUGUUGAUGAGUUCUCACCCCGCUCUGGUCAAUGCCAUCGUCCUGGUCCUGCACUCGGUGGCUGGCAGUGUCCCCACCCAGCAGGGCGCUGGCUCUUCUCGCAACGUUUCCUCCAGCUCCUAUAGCGACAUGCCAGGUGGAUUCCUGUUUGAGGGCAUGUCUGAUGAUGAGGAUGAUUUCCAGUCGGGGAAUCGGGCCGGGCCGUCCAGCGGUGCUGGGGGCUCAUCGGGGGCCAGGCCCGCCACGCUGGGCUACAGCGGUGCCGUGGGGCCACGCCCUAUCACUCAGAGUGAGCUGGCCACCGCCCUCGCCCUCGCCAGCACUCCCGAGAGCAGCGCGGUCACGCCGACCACGGGGAACCAGGGGGCCUCCUCAGGGGUGUCCCCCGUGCCCGCUGGGACGCCCAUCACCAACGACAUCUUCAACCAGGCCCUCCAGCAGGCCCUGCAGGUCUCCAGCAUGUCCUCUCUGCAGGUGAGAGAGGACCCUUCAUAAGGGAGCAUGACCAUGAUGGCCAAAAGGGCUCUGUGGUUGCCAUGCUGUGAGAGUCCCUCAGAGUUUACCAAGUGUGCUGUGGAAAAUGUUCAAAUUCCCGCUCAGGUGACAUAUUGUAACAUUUUAGUGGUUAAUGGGGUCACAUUGUGCCAUGGCUGUUUCUUUUAUCAUACAAAGUGUGCCAUUGCAGAAAAAAGGUUGGGAAACCCUGCUCUGGAGACUUUUACUUAUCUGCAGUUAAAGGAUUUUAAGUUCCAUUAUACAAAGCAGUGGAACAGAAUCCCUAAGCUUUUAAAGUAUUGAACUGUUGGCUGAGUUCUCCUGGUUGUGGCGUUGUGAGUAGCAG